AUCCGUCCAACCCCUGCACUUCCUCCCCGCCUCCGACGCCUCCGCCUCCGCCUCGACCGGGGUUCAGAUUGAUCUCCUCCAUCUGUGCAUGCGUCGGUCCCGGCGUCUGCUCCUGUGGCGGCUCGUCUCCCCUCCAGCCGGUGCCUGGUGUCCGUGGACUGACACUGGUACACGGGCGAGAUGCUGGUGCGCUUCGCGGUCGUGCUGGGCGGGUGCAAGUUCGAGGCCGCCGUGGCAUGCGCCGAGGGGUCCGGCCGCGUCACUGUCUCGAUGUCGAGGACGCCGACGGCGCUGCGGUCAACGUUGAGGGGUCCGGCACGCUGCGGCUCCUCGCCGCAACGAUGGAGGCAUCCAGGAGGGGAGGGGAGCGGGACCAGGAGGAGGCCAAGAGGCGGUACCUUGAGUUCAUGAGGCGAAAGAAGGGGAGGAAGGAGAGCGAGGCGCGACGCGAGGCGCUCGUGGACCUGUGCUGCUCCACCGCCAGCGCUGCCGUCGUGCUCUCCUACCUCUCGCCGCGGUCGCGCUUCGGUGAUCGGCACCUGCCUGCCGGCCGCCCGGAGAGGGCGGCCGCUGGAUGUAGAGCUGCAAUGAGUUGGUCAAGAAAUGGGGAUCCUGAGUUGAAUAUGAUAUCAAAUCUUGUGGACCCGGAUAAAAUUUGUAGCGACGCCAGAUUGGAGCGGGUGAGGUGUAUAGAUUGAUAAAUUAGCAUGCCGGGGCUUUGCCCAGUGUGUAGAAUAUUCCUGGUACACUAUACUUCUUUAUUCUCUUUUCAAUCACCUGAUGUAAGAAUGAAUAAUAUAUUUAUAUUAUAACAUUCAAGGCUUCAAGCUACUUGGGUUCAGUAGGUUUCAAGAAUGAAUGAUUAGUAUUGGCUAUUCCCAUAAAUGAUUCGUAGUGUUGGGUCAUCCCCAUGUGGUGAAGAUUUUUUACUUUUAGAAACUUUUUUGGAGUGGAGAUGGCUUGAUUUGAGAUCAUUGCAAACUGAGAGGACAGACUCAGGCCCAAAAUUAGAUCCUAGCUUAGGCAUUGUUGAGCUUCUUGUCCAAAAUAGAUGAUAACUCUGAGCCUAAGAUAUACCCAAUUGGUAUUUAAACAUUAAUUAUUACAGCUCAGGAUGAAAAUGAAAAUGGUUGUUCCAUAUUCAGUAUAUGGAUCUUUCAGGCAAAAGAAAAAUAACUUAUCCACAAUUUGCAAGUGGGAUGUCUCUCUAAUCUUUAAAUAUCACUAGGAUGAUGGAACUAGACGUGUCUAUGUGGUUGGUGCUCGUGCUGCAGCUGGUUUGAUUUUAACUGUUGCCAGUGAGUUUUUCACGGAAUCAGGGCAGACACUUGUACGUGGAACUCUAGAUUAUUUACUAGGAAUGAAAGUUUGUCUAAUCACAUCUUCAACAGUGACAAUAAUUAGAUAAACAUCUGGUUAGAUAGUAAUCCUAUAGAUGCUCGGAAUAAAACGGACUGAAAGGGUUCUUCCAACUGGAACCUCUUUGACGAUUGUUGGUGAGGUAGUAUUUGCAUCACUAAUUGGUCUAUGUUUUGUUGCAUUACUUCUUGUUGACAUGUCUAAUGUAUUAUGUUUUGUCUUUUCCUUUUGUUUAUUAUUAUUUUAUAGGAACAGGCCAUUAAAGAUGAUGUUGGAACUGUUCAAAUUCAGCAACUAGACAAAGGACCAUUUUAUGGAUCACCAACUUAUCUUGAAUCUUGGAAAAUGGUCCAGAACAAGGCCCAGCUUGUUGUCAUUGCUCAUGAUGUGGAUCCGAUUGAACUUCUGUGCAGGAAGAUGGAGUUCCCUUACUGCAUUGUUAAAAGGAAAGGCUCUCCUUGGAUCGAUUGUUCACAAGAAGACCGCAUCCGUGCUGUGCCUUACCACUGUCAAGAAUGAGGACAAGCUCGAGUUUAGCAAGAUCUUGGAGGCAAUUAAGAUAGGAAAGAAUGGCAUAUUGUGAUCUGAUUGGUAUCAUGUGGUUAUGAUCCCUCUUAAAAUGACUCGAAUUGUACUCCAGACAAACCAUCUUGACUGUUUAUUUACACACUAUAAUGCUGGAUAGACACCUUUGAUGGAUAGUGUACCCACGCUGCUCAAAUGUUAGCAUAUUAACCAUGUAUUUAUUCCCAUAUGAUGUGAUUUUGUGUUGAAAUUAUCCUA
Panicum virgatum (switchgrass) is the source of this 2142-nucleotide RNA transcript. RefSeq lists it as uncharacterized. The transcript is spliced from 5 exons. NCBI's taxonomy places the organism in Eukaryota, Viridiplantae, Streptophyta, Magnoliopsida, Poales, Poaceae. The record is from RefSeq and is a predicted model, not a curated record.